GUGUCCGAGGGCACCAAGGCCGUCACCAAGUACACCAGCGCCAAGUGAACAGUGAGUUGGCUGCAAACUGAACCCUAACGGCUCUUUUAAGAGCCACCCAUAUUCUCAAAGAGAGAGCUGCCACUUAUUCUGUGCUGAUCCGGUGACUCAUUACAGUAGUCUGAACAAUCCCCAGGUUUUCCUAUUACAGUAACUAAGCGGCAAAACUAAUACUGGGUCUUAGCCAAGCUCUGGGGCUCCUGUGCAAAGUAACAAAGGCUCUGAGCUUGUCCCUCACUUAGGAGCUAGCUACUUUCAAAAGGGCUCUGUCACCAGUUCGAAUCACCUUUAGAAUUAAGUAAACGGUGGAAGAGAAAACAAGCUGGAAGCAAAUUCAAAUACUCCCCAGUCACCCCUUGAGAACAGAGCUGGACUCCUGCCCAGGUUUCGGGGGUUGCGCCUACAGUUUGAAUUUGCCGCCCUUCCUCUCUGCGCCCUGAUUGGUUCUGGCAUCUGAGACCCCCCCCCCCCCCCCCAGCCCAGCACACUCAGGCACCUAGAGUAAAUAUUCUCCGGCUGUCUAUCCUGUUUUCAUUCUCUUAAGCUUUCUAAACUUGCCAGGAGUGAGGUGUAGUAUUUCCUCUUGGAAUUUUCGUUGGAGAGAGGAAUCUGGAAGAUGUUUUCAGGCUGAGAAGUACCAAUGCUGUAUUUCCAAUUAGGCUGCCGGUUUCCUUCUGCCAUAUACCCAUAUAAUGGAAAAUGUCACCAUGACGAGAUAGGGCUAUUUGGGGGUUCGGUGAAGGCAAAGAAGCUUGCUAGCAUCCAUCCCAGACUCCUGUAAAACGAGAAUCAGUUUUUCUUUUCAAGUUCCUUUGGUUGGCGCUUAAAGCUGCUGUUUGACAUUGUUGGGAACCAGUAAGGAAAAAGCACGCUCCGCGUCGGUUAGGUUGCCACAAAUCAGAACCAGGCAGCCAACAAUGUGUCUCUAGAUUAUAAUUCUUCAAUAUCUUGUGUCUCUUAGCUAAACAGCCAUGAUCUGUAAAGCAUUUGGAAGCCUCCAGUCCGGCUGGUUUGGGGUUUAGGUAGUAAUUUUAAAUGCAUUUAAUUGAUAUAAAUAAAUUACCCAAUUUAUCUAAAACGGAUCUAAAUUUAACACAGCGAUAAUGUCUAAAACAAUGUUUUGUUAGAUCCAAUGUCAAAUAUAGGCUUCUCCUUUGUUGACUCGAAUCCUACUCCUGGUUCAGUGCCCACGUCAAUCUGGCCUGCUCUCCAAAAUACCCUUUCCUUGUCCAGCAUUUGGGAACUGCCUCCGUAUAGUCUAGGUAGUGAAUUGCUACUAAGUGGUUUGCUGUAUGUUUCCCCACAGAAAAUGUGCAGUCAAGACAGGAAAAAUAAAGAAGGAAGAAAAGAGAAAGUUCUUUCCUUCAUCUCCACCCCACACUCAUGAUAACCGAGUACCUGGAAACAACAUAAUUUUUGUCACUUCUUCUGUCAUACGAGCCCCCUGAUCCUCUCCAUUAAUCCAAAUAAUCAGAUGAUAAUGUUCAAGCUAAA
This is a long non-coding RNA of Herpailurus yagouaroundi (jaguarundi), 1533 nucleotides long. RefSeq lists it as uncharacterized. The record is from RefSeq and is a predicted model, not a curated record. NCBI's taxonomy places the organism in Eukaryota, Metazoa, Chordata, Mammalia, Carnivora, Felidae. The transcript is spliced from 2 exons.